Molecule: long non-coding RNA, 307 nt
Organism: Mastomys coucha (southern multimammate mouse)
Lineage: Eukaryota; Metazoa; Chordata; Mammalia; Rodentia; Muridae
Exons: 2
Source: RefSeq, a predicted model, not a curated record
UGCUGAGGUAGGUAGAAUUAGUCUUUCAUAAGGAAGAUCCUCUCAUUGUUUAUGCAAUAGCAAGUGAUUGGCUCUGCAAAUGAACACAAACAACACUAAGUGAACUCAGAUGAGGGUGGAGUAGAUGCAGUUGAGCUCAGAGAUGUUGGAUAUGCUACAGAUUGCCAGCAUGAUACUAACCCUUACCUCCACCGAAGGACAAAGCAGCUUGGUCGCAGAUGAGGAGAACUUUGGCUUCUUUACAAUCUCCUUUGACAGAAUCUCCAUGUACCAGCUUUCCAGCUCAAUAAACUGCAUUCACAAUGGA